Molecule: ribosomal RNA, 484 nt
Filed under: uncultured bacterium
Lineage: Bacteria
Description: bacterial SSU rRNA
Rfam family: Bacterial small subunit ribosomal RNA
Source: RNAcentral
UGACAGUACUCCUACGGGGAGGCAGCAGUGGGGGAAUAUUGCACAAUGGGCGCAAGCCUGAUGCAGCCAUGCCGCGUGUGUGAAGAAGGCCUUCGGGUUGUAAAGCACUUUCAGUCGUGAGGAAGGUAGUGUAGUUAAUAGCUGCAUUAUUUGACGUUUAGCGACAGAAGAAGACACCGGCUAACUCCGUGCCAGCAGCCGCGGUAAUACGGGAGGGUGCGAGCGUUAAUCGGAAUUACUGGGCGUAAAGCGCAUGCAGGUGGUUUGUUAAGUCAGAUGUGAAAGCCCGGGGCUCAACCUACGGAAUAAGCAUUUAGUAAACUAGGCAGACUAGAGUACUGUAGAGGGGGGUAGGAAUUUCAGGUGUAGCGGUGAAAUGCGUAGAGAUCUGAAGGAAUACCGGUGGCGAAGGCGGCCCCCUGGACAGAUACUGACACUCAGAUGCGAAAGCGUGGGGAGCAAACAGGAUUAGAUACCCUGGUAG